This 429-nucleotide ribosomal RNA is filed under the name Bacteroidota bacterium. RNAcentral describes it as "Bacteroidetes bacterium partial 16S ribosomal RNA". It matches the Rfam family "Bacterial small subunit ribosomal RNA", at positions 355 to 776 of the family's 1533-position model. Lineage: Bacteria; Pseudomonadati; Bacteroidota. The record is from RNAcentral.
UAGGGAAUCUUCCGCAAUGGGCGAAAGCCUGACGGAGCAACGCCGCGUGAGUGAUGAAGGUCUUCGGAUCGUAAAACUCUGUUAUUAGGGAAGAACAAAUGUGUAUGUAACUCUGCACGUCUUGACGGUACCUAAUCAGAAAGCCACGGCUAACUACGUGCCAGCAGCCGCGGUAAUACGUAGGUGGCAAGCGUUAUCCGGAAUUAGUGGGCGUAAAGCGCGCGUAGGCGGUUUUUUAAGUCUGAUGUGAAAGCCCACGGCUCAACCGUGGAGGGUCAUUGGAAACUGGAAAACUUGAGUGCAGAAGAGGAAAGUGGAAUUCCAUGUGUAGCGGUGAAAUGCGCAGAGAUAUGGAGGAACACCAGUGGCGAAGGAGACUUUCUGGUCUGUAACUGACGCUGAUGUGCGAAAGCGUGGGAAUCAAACAGG